RNAcentral lists this ribosomal RNA (648 nucleotides) under uncultured Bacilli bacterium. RNAcentral describes it as "bacterial SSU rRNA". It matches the Rfam family "Bacterial small subunit ribosomal RNA", at positions 33 to 664 of the family's 1533-position model. The record is from RNAcentral. Lineage: Bacteria; Bacillati; Bacillota; Bacilli.
ACGCUGGCGGCGUGCCUAAUACAUGCAAGUAGAACGCUGAAGGAAGGAGCUUGCUCUUUCCGGAUGAGUUGCGAACGGGUGAGUAACGCGUAGGUAACCUGCCUGGUAGCGGGGGAUAACUAUUGGAAACGAUAGCUAAUACCGCAUAACAACAGUUGUUGCAUGACAGCUGUUUAAAAGGUGCAAAUGCACCACUACCAGAUGGACCUGCGUUGUAUUAGCUAGUUGGUGAGGUAACGGCUCACCAAGGCGACGAUACAUAGCCGACCUGAGAGGGUGAUCGGCCACACUGGGACUGAGACACGGCCCAGACUCCUACGGGAGGCAGCAGUAGGGAAUCUUCGGCAAUGGACGGAAGUCUGACCGAGCAACGCCGCGUGAGUGAAGAAGGUUUUCGGAUCGUAAAGCUCUGUUGUAAGAGAAGAACGAGUGUGAGAGUGGAAAGUUCACACUGUGACGGUAUCUUACCAGAAAGGGACGGCUAACUACGUGCCAGCAGCCGCGGUAAUACGUAGGUCCCGAGCGUUAUCCGGAUUUAUUGGGCGUAAAGCGAGCGCGGGCGGUUAGAUAAGUCUGAAGUUAAAGGCUGUGGCUUAACCAUAGUACGCUUUGGAAACUGUUUAACUUGAGUGCAGAAGGGGAGAGUGG